AAAUUAUCAAUAAUUAAAAUUUACUUUUUAUUAUAAUUUAAAUUAUUCAUUACAAAACUAAAAUAUAAGUACAACUGCGUCAUAGAGAGGAAGAGGUUGCUGCUAGUAUAGAAGCCUUUGUUUACAGAUUUGAAGAAUGAUCAACCCAGUUCUGUGAAUUCAAUAGGGAAUGCAGUUGACACCUUUCCAAUUCAACCAGGAAGUCUUGCUACGAAUGCUGAAUCUUUAAAACCCAUUUCAUUUACAAAUUCAGUAUUGAAAGCACAUGGAUAUAAUAAUCUCAGUGGCAUUUCUGAUCUGCAAUUCAACAUUUUUUUUCAAAAGAAAUGUGUGAAACAGGAGUAGUUCAAUUGCAUAUUAUAGAGUAAAAUGUAAUAACAGAUUGCCUAAAGCCAAACACUUGGAAAGUCUCGCCUCUUGAGAACUUUCUUGUUUCGAAUGAUGUACUUUUUUAAUUGUUAAUUAAUCAUAUGCUUGUACUGGCUGAAAAUUCGGACAGGAGCUCAAUGUUCUAAAUAAUAAAUGAAAACAUAAUCUGUCAUCUAACAAAGUGCAGCUUUUGAGAACAAAUUCACAAAAUAAAAGUACUGGCAGGACUCUUUGAAAUGAGUAAUGCAUUACAAAUGAGUUGUGUGAGAGAAGAUGAUCAGAAAACGAGAGCAGGUAAGGUACUAGAAAUUUAGAUUCUGCAUGACAGAUAAUUCAAUUUUGUUAAACAAGAGUUUAACAAAAGGAUCUGAAUGUGAAGGUGUCACAACAAGUGCUGCAGGAUAGGUUACUUUGGUUAGCUGAAGGAGGAAUUUCCUCAGUGAAAUCGGCAUAUGAUAUGAGGUCAUACAAAAUUCUGUAAAUUCUGAAUAUAGCUUAGAAUUGGAAACCCAUUGGGAAGUUAAGGCUAUCCCAAUCCAAAUGCUCUAUGUUUAGCUUGGAGAAUUUUGAAAAGCAAAGUACCGACAAGGGUGAAUCUAAUAAGAAGAGGUGUAAUCCUACCCACAAUUUUGUGCCCAUUACGUAAUGCAGCUGAAGAAACGACUAACCAUCUCUUUAUGGAAUGCCAAAUAGCACACCAUUUGAUACAUCUUAGCAUGAAAAGGAAUAGAGCGUAGAAGAGUGUUUGGGUAACGGUCUUAUGGUGCAUAUGGAGGCAAAGGAGUGAGGUUGUUUUUAAGGAUGAGAAGGUGGAUGCUGAAGAAAUCUUUAACCUAGCCCAGCUACAGGCUUGGUCUUGGAUGAAGAGGAAAAGCCUUUAGUUUUUCCUAUUAGGACUGGGCAUUAAAUCCCAGGGCAUGUUUACAAUCCUUAAGCUAACUAUGUGGUUAGUCUACAGGUGCCGCUUAAGGGUAUGUUUCUGGCAUACAUGUUUUUCAGGUGGAAGGUUUGAAGCACCAAGAGUUCUGAUUUUGUGAGCUGUUGAGAAAUUGUAUCUGCAAUUCUGCAAUACUGAUUCUGCAGUAAUUAUGCAGAGAAAUUACUAUGUAAAAUGUAAAGAAUUGAUAUACCUCUUAGCCUAGGAAGGGGAAGGAUCUUGUUUACUGAGUUGCAGGCAAAGGAAGAAGAAAGUGGCACCUUCAUUAGCUACGUUGAUAAUUAGGUAGCAGGAGGCAAAUGCAGAACAGAGAAGUGGACGGCAGCAGGUGGAAGGUUGAAUAAGUAGGACGUGAGAAGUAAACUAUUAGAAGGAAAGUAAUGUAGAAUGAAAAAGCAGCAAGCUAUGUUUCAAGACUGUGGCAGCAGAAGUUCAGAUUGGUUAAGAUUCUGGAAUUGUAAUAUAAAAGGACAGCAAACAUAGGUUCAGGACAAUUCGGAAUUUGUAGACAAAGACAGUGAAGACCUAAGGAUAUGCAGCGAGAGAUGGAAACAGAGCAGAUGAAUUUGUGUCCUUUUAUCAAAAGCUGUACAAGGAACAUAUGAUUGAAGGAAUGACUUUGUCAACAGGAGGAACUUCCCAGCUUCAGGGCCAAAAUUUGUGUAGAAGCAAUUCUAUUUGGUCAAGUUUUUCUUGAUAAGGAGAAUUUAGCUUAAAAUUCUGAUAAUUGCUGCAAUUUUGAUCUAUAAUUAUGCAAAGCAGUUACUAUUUGUGUUGACGUUUUGUAGCUUUAGCUAUAGAUUUUAGAUCUAACCAAAUAAUGUAGGCAUUGCUUGGUCUGGUUUGAGAAAGUGUAGGUUGACAAUAGAUCGUUUUAGUAAAAGAAUUGUAACACCCCUAAAGGGUCUCAUUUUAAUUUAAUUUAUUCAUUCCUAAUAAAUAAAUAAAUAAAAAAAAAAGAGGAUCCCUCAUUCCAAUGUUUAUCCACCAAAAAUCAUAAUCUAAGGUCACCACCAGUUUACAUUUCUGCAAGAAACCCUACAGAAUUUUGCCAUGAAUUUUAGCUGUCAUCCUUCCUUAUCACCGUAAAGGUAAGAGAUCGUACUGGUAGCACAUAUCAGUUGUAAGAACGGAUCAGAUGAAAAAUUGAGUUAUGCAACUAUGGAAUUUUAGAACAGAAUUUCUAGCUUAUAAAGGAUGUUAUAUUCAAAGGGCACCAAUAAAGUGAAGUUAACAAUUACUGCACGGGAUUUGGAUUCUCUACAAAAAAAUAAUUCAACUACACAAAGUCUACACUUCUUUUUUUUUACAAUUCAAAUUUAAUAAACUUAUCUAACUGUAGCGAAUCGUUGUCCCUACUGCAUCCCAUGUUAGAUGUGAAUACCAUGGAAUGCUCCAAAAUCAAGCUACACUUUUCAAUUCCAAAUUCAGAAUUCAACUCAGAGUUAAUCAGCCCAACCCAACAAAGUGCAGAACCAAAAAUAGAAGCCUAUGCUUCUAUUCUUUCCUAAACCUAAAUAUCAAAAUUCACAAUCACCCACGACUCCACCCAUAUUUCCACCUUAGAAUUCAAAUUCAAACAUCUAACUGUAAUCAGAUAUUUUCGGAAAAAAUGACAUCUGCAGAGUUAAAAAUUGUUGAAAAGUGGACUUGCCAGAAAUUUAGUGGGAUAUGAAUGAAAAACUGAUAUGCCAGGAAAAGAAAAGAGGCAAAAUAUCAUAAGUUAGACAGAAUAAUGAAGCAUAUGAAAAUGCAGAACAUCAGCAAAAUUAGGUAAAUCGAGAAAGUGAAGAUACCAUUGGUGGCGAGCAUGGAGCAAGAAACGAGUUCCAUUCAAUUGGAAUUGGAAUAAAACAGUGAGAGAACCCAACCAGUUGAAAUCUAGGGCUCUGAUAGCCAUGGGAAUUGAUGAAGGGAAACUCUAGAAGAAAGAAAAGGCGUGCUACUCAAGACUCGUGUGUUAAAAUGCAUGAAUAGGAGGAGACAAAAGAAAUUGGAAUUGGAAUCAGAAUGAAAUGCAUAAGAAGAUGAGUGAAG
This 3343-nucleotide long non-coding RNA is filed under the name Phaseolus vulgaris (common bean). Its description in RNAcentral is "long non-coding RNA (PVUL_LNC001885)". The record is from RNAcentral. Lineage: Eukaryota; Viridiplantae; Streptophyta; Magnoliopsida; Fabales; Fabaceae.